GUCGAACGGUAACAGAAAGCAGCUUGCUGCUUUGCUGACGAGUGGCGGACGGGUGAGUAAUGUCUGGGAAACUGCCUGAUGGAGGGGGAUAACUACUGGAAACGGUAGCUAAUACCGCAUAACGUCGCAAGACCAAAGAGGGGGACCUUCGGGCCUCUUGCCAUCGGAUGUGCCCAGAUGGGAUUAGCUAGUAGGUGGGGUAAAGGCUCACCUAGGCGACGAUCCCUAGCUGGUCUGAGAGGAUGACCAGCCACACUGGAACUGAGACACGGUCCAGACUCCUACGGGAGGCAGCAGUGGGGAAUAUUGCACAAUGGGCGCAAGCCUGAUGCAGCCAUGCCGCGUGUAUGAAGAAGGCCUUCGGGUUGUAAAGUACUUUCAGCGGGGAGGAAGGGAGUAAAGUUAAUACCUUUGCUCAUUGACGUUACCCGCAGAAGAAGCACCGGCUAACUCCGUGCCAGCAGCCGCGGUAAUACGGAGGGUGCAAGCGUUAAUCGGAAUUACUGGGCGUAAAGCGCACGCAGGCGGUUUGUUAAGUCAGAUGUGAAAUCCCCGGGCUCAACCUGGGAACUGCAUCUGAUACUGGCAAGCUUGAGUCUCGUAGAGGGGGGUAGAAUUCCAGGUGUAGCGGUGAAAUGCGUAGAGAUCUGGAGGAAUACCGGUGGCGAAGGCGGCCCCCUGGACGAAGACUGACGCUCAGGUGCGAAAGCGUGGGGGAGCAAACAGGAUUAGAUACCCUGGUAGUCCACGCCGUA
Molecule: ribosomal RNA, 755 nt
Filed under: uncultured Escherichia sp.
Lineage: Bacteria; Pseudomonadati; Pseudomonadota; Gammaproteobacteria; Enterobacterales; Enterobacteriaceae
Description: bacterial SSU rRNA
Rfam family: Bacterial small subunit ribosomal RNA
Source: RNAcentral